This is a small nucleolar RNA of Jaculus jaculus (lesser Egyptian jerboa), 71 nucleotides long. RefSeq annotates it as small nucleolar RNA SNORD49. The transcript has a single exon. The record is from RefSeq and is a predicted model, not a curated record. NCBI's taxonomy places the organism in Eukaryota, Metazoa, Chordata, Mammalia, Rodentia, Dipodidae.
UGCUAUGACGAAAUCAUUAGAAGGAAGUUCUGGCAGAAGUAAUAAUUGAUCCUAAGUACUUCUGGCUGACU